GUGACUGCGUACCUUUUGUAUAAUGGGUCAGCGACUUAUAUUCUGUAGCAAGGUUAACCGAAUAGGGGAGCCGAAGGGAAACCGAGUCUUAACUGGGCGUUAAGUUGCAGGGUAUAGACCCGAAACCCGGUGAUCUAGCCAUGGGCAGGUUGAAGGUUGGGUAACACUAACUGGAGGACCGAACCGACUAAUGUUGAAAAAUUAGCGGAUGACUUGUGGCUGGGGGUGAAAGGCCAAUCAAACCGGGAGAUAGCUGGUUCUCCCCGAAAGCUAUUUAGGUAGCGCCUCGUGAAUUCAUCUCCGGGGGUAGAGCACUGUUUCGGCAAGGGGGUCAUCCCGACUUACCAACCCGAUGCAAACUGCGAAUACCGGAGAAUGUUAUCACGGGAGACACACGGCGGGUGCUAACGUCCGUCGUGAAGAGGGAAACAACCCAGACCGCCAGCUAAGGUCCCAAAGUCAUGGUUAAGUGGGAAACGAUGUGGGAAGGCCCAGACAGCCAGGAUGUUGGCUUAGAAGCAGCCAUCAUUUAAAGAAAGCGUAAUAGCUCACUGGUCGAGUCGGCCUGCGCGGAAGAUGUAACGGGGCUAAACCAUGCACCGAAGCUGCGGCAGCGACACUAUGUGUUGUUGGGUAGGGGAGCGUUCUGUAAGCCUGUGAAGGUGUACUGUGAGGUAUGCUGGAGGUAUCAGAAGUGCGAAUGCUGACAUAAGUAACGAUAAAGCGGGUGAAAAGCCCGCUCGCCGGAAGACCAAGGGUUCCUGUCCAACGUUAAUCGGGGCAGGGUGAGUCGACCCCUAAGGCGAGGCCGAAAGGCGUAGUCGAUGGGAAACAGGUUAAUAUUCCUGUACUUGGUGUUACUGCGAAGGGGGGACGGAGAAGGCUAUGUUGGCCGGGCGACGGUUGUCCCGGUUUAAGCGUGUAGGCUGGUUUUCCAGGCAAAUCCGGAAAAUCAAGGCUGAGGCGUGAUGACGAGGCACUACGGUGCUGAAGCAACAAAUGCCCUGCUUCCAGGAAAAG
This 1020-nucleotide ribosomal RNA is filed under the name Escherichia coli. RNAcentral's name for it is "partial 23S ribosomal RNA". It matches the Rfam family "Bacterial large subunit ribosomal RNA", at positions 593 to 1617 of the family's 2925-position model. The record is from RNAcentral. Lineage: Bacteria; Pseudomonadati; Pseudomonadota; Gammaproteobacteria; Enterobacterales; Enterobacteriaceae.